This 156-nucleotide ribosomal RNA is filed under the name Triticum aestivum (bread wheat). Its description in RNAcentral is "partial small subunit ribosomal RNA". Lineage: Eukaryota; Viridiplantae; Streptophyta; Magnoliopsida; Poales; Poaceae. The record is from RNAcentral.
AUGGCCCACAUAUCAGAUAUUAAACUGAUAAGAACAGAUACUACACUUGAUCUUAGCCAAAAGGCCGAGAAAGGUAUGAUUUGCAACGUUGCCUUGCCCCUCUAUUUGUACCCUCCUGCCCUCCCGUCCCCUCCCCGCCGAGCGAGGUGGUACUAA